This 279-nucleotide ribosomal RNA is filed under the name uncultured bacterium. Its description in RNAcentral is "partial 16S ribosomal RNA". It matches the Rfam family "Bacterial small subunit ribosomal RNA", at positions 506 to 784 of the family's 1533-position model. The record is from RNAcentral.
UGCCAGCCGCCGCGGUAAUACGAAGGGACCUAGCGUAGUUCGGAAUUACUGGGCUUAAAGAGUUCGUAGGUGGUUAAAAAAGUUGGUGAUGAAAUCCCAGAGCUUAACUCUGGAACUGCCCUCAAAACUUUUUAGCUAGAGUAUGAUAGAGGAAAGCAGAAUUUCUAGUGUAGAGGUGAAAUUCGUAGAUAUUAGAAAGAAUACCGAUUGCGAAGGCAGCUUUCUGGAUCAUUACUGACGCUGAGGAACGAAAGCAUGGGUAGCGAAGAGGAUUAGAUA